ACGUAGGUGGCGAGCGUUGUCCGGAAUUAUUGGGCGUAAAGAGCAUGUAGGCGGUUUUUUAAGUCUGGAGUGAAAAUGCGGGGCUCAACCCCGUAUGGCUUUGGAUACUGGAAGACUUGAGUGCAGGAGAGGAAAGGGGAAUUCCCAGUGUAGCGGUGAAAUGCGUAGAUAUUGGGAGGAACACCAGUGGCGAAGGCGCCUUUCUGGACUGUGUCUGACGCUGAGAUGCGAAAGCCAGGGUAGCGAACGG
RNAcentral lists this ribosomal RNA (250 nucleotides) under uncultured bacterium. RNAcentral's name for it is "partial 16S ribosomal RNA". It matches the Rfam family "Bacterial small subunit ribosomal RNA", at positions 525 to 775 of the family's 1533-position model. The record is from RNAcentral.